UUUUUUUCAUUUUAUAUUUAAUAAAAUCCAGAUUAUAAUGAAAACCCCCAGCUAGUUUUUAGAACAAUUAAUUUUCUAAAUAAACUGUAUACCACAAACAAUUUCAUGUUUGACUUUUGCUGUAUGGUCACAGACUUUUUUUUUUGUUUGUUUAAAAAAUAUUUUUUAACUUCAUUAAAUGAGCUUUUUUUUGCCUAAAUAAUACUUCCAAAGCCAUAGUCACUUUUUAUCAUGUUGUGCUCUGAAAUAAUUUUCUUCUCAGUACUUACAUCUAUGGGUGGCAGAUGGCUCAUAGGUUAGGUGCCUAAAAUGGACAGGACCAAAUUAACACAUUUGGCUGGAACUUACCUCAGGAAGCCAAGCUUGGUGGUGGGCAGCUGGACAUCAAAUUUAUCAAAAACCCAACAACAGCUGAAGCCAAGAUUAUUCUCUAAAGACACAAAUGUUCAAUUUUUAAAGAGAUUCUUAUUAUCUAGAACACUACUUAACGCUCAGCCUUACUUAUCACUUACAUUCUGAGCACUUAAUUGUUUAUAAACUUUUCUACCUAAGCAGAUAGAAAAAAUAAGAAGCUGAUAAUCAAAAUAGUUAGUGUUCACAUGAAAGUUAUAUAGAAUGUAAUUAACAUAAAAAUAGGAAAGAUCAAGCAAGAAUUUUUAAAUCUUUCCAUUCAUACAACAAAAACAAUGAAUGUAAAACAGAGAAACAGAACUGGCCAUGAGCUAGAUAGAAAGUAAUAUAAUAAUUUCCACUUCCUGAAACGUAAAACUUCUUUACUUGAAUAAGACUUAGGAAGCCACCAUUUUAAAAGCUGAAAGGAAAGAGUUUUUAAAAGAGAGGCCUUGGUAUGUGGCAAGUGUACCGUAGAGACUAAGUAUCAUCAUGGAACAGUUAGAGACUAUUACAGAAGACAAGCCAAUUAAGGUAGGUAAUCAGGAAGCCAAUGGAAAUACGGGCAGAAGAAAUGGUAGGAGGGAAUUCAAGGUGAAUAGUCAUAGCCAAAGGCAUGGAAAUCAGCAUAAUUCUGAUGGAGGGACUAAAUCUUGCAUCUUUCUGAUUACACUGUUGAGAAAGUCAAAUGACAUAAAAAUUCUAAAGCUAUUAAUUGCAGUCAAAUGUUCAGAUCCUUUUCUGCUAAUUUCUUGGGGAAGCAGAAGACAAGGAGGGCAUAUUGUGAAAGCAAGGUGUGAUUCAUAAGAAUGAGUGAACACAAAUUCAGUGUUUAUGGAGCUAAAUAUAUUUUUGUCCUGUUGAUUUUCAAAAAACAUUUCCAAAAUUCACUCAGUCUUUCCAUAUGCUUAGAAGAUCAUUUUGAUGUUGUUUUUGUUCUUCCAACAACAAAAAAUACACAUGACCCUUACAUGGUGAUAAAUCAGUGUGUAAAAAUUCUUAAUAAAAAGUUUCAUAUUAGGUAUUAUGAAGACAGUCAUCAAUAUAAUUCACAAAAUAAAUACUUCUACUUACAAUCACUCUCUAAGUUAGCACUAUUAAAGCACCUUCCUAUGAGAAAGUAUCCAGCUAUAUUAUAUUAUAGAGAAGAAUGAGUGAAAGUGAAAUGUUUCGAACAUCAAUAAAUGUGGUCAAUUCAAAAGUUAAACAUAUUGUUCAUACAGUGGCAAGAUGUGUUUUUUAGUGAAACCUUUUAAAAGUAUGUUUUAAUCAUAUAAAUGUUUGUUUUCAAAGAGACAAUUAUUUCCUAAUAAUACAUAAUUGAAGAAUAACUUGGAAUUUCACAAGCUUUCAUAAUCCUCCCCAGUAAAGAAACUAUCCUUGCCAUCACAGAGAGGGAAUCCAGUCUUAAUGACUACCUGAAUUCACAGAAGCACAUAAGCACAAAGGUCAGGACUAGAGAAGGCACCCUCUCUUUAGCAAAGCCUCACCUUCUCCACAAAUAAAAUCCUCCUUCCUCACACUCACAAAGUACCCCUGCUUACCUUAGCAUUUCUAUAUUUACUCUGAAAAGUCUGGAGUAAUGUCAUAGAGGAAUAGUCAAUGGAAACAGAAUUCCAACGCGUUAGGUGUUGAGAUAAACAAACUGAGGUCCAAAAAUUGUGCUUUGUACAAAGUUUCAUGACUGGUUUCUUGAAAAACUUAGAAUAUAAUGCAGAAUAGAGAUAUUUUAAAAUCUUAUGAGAAAUAGACUCUGAAUAAAAAGUUAUCAAACUUGGAAACCUAACAAACUAUGAGUGUUCUUCUACAUAAUGCAUUCUUGAAACAUGCUGUUUAAGUAUCUUAAGAAUGACUAUAUUUCCAUUAGUCAAAUAAAAGUCCUCCCUAUUUUAUAAUAUCGUUUUUCUUUAAAAUGCAAAAAUCUGAAAUAGAAUUACUUCUAUAGAAAUCAUAACACUAAAUAGCAAGUGAUGCAUAUUUGCUAAACAUUAACAAAACAAAUUACAAUGACUCUGAUAUUGCUUUCUCAUUCCUCCAAAAAAAAGUAAUGAUUAGUUUACCAAUUAAGGCUUCAAUACAGUUUAUUAAAUGAACUAUCUUUUUUCAUUUCUGAUGCAUUCAGUCUAUACGUUAAAAGUAUCAGAGAGUAAAUUAGCAACACAAAUCAGCAACAUCCCCAUCUCUCAACAGUUUGACAGCUUUGGUUACAUUCCCCAAGGAUAAUCUCAGCACCAAGAUAGUGAUUUUCACCACUGCACUUUUUCUGACUAAUUAUCAGUGCAGACCCUCCAGUUGAUCAGUUCAUUCUCAUGUAAGAGUGUCCUGUAGUUUAAAUUAAUUAUGCUGAUAAAUGACAACAUUUCAGCUGCCUGACAACUGCUUUAAUUAAAAAUAUUUUUGGCAAAGAUUAGAGUACUAUUGCAUGCUUAAGUAUACCAAGUUGGCUACUAAAGUUUCUGUCUUCCAAGAACUCAGGUUUCAUUGAUGUAUGCAUUCAACAUUUUCUAAUUUGGAGUAGGAGGUUCCUCUUUAAUAACAUUUAUUUUGAGAUCUAUAUAAGUGUGAAUGACCCUGUAAAGAAAACUGGUUAGGAAAGAUGUCAAAUUCAUUGACUUCUUUUCCUAAUGUAUGGGCCAGGUUAUUUGAGAGGUAAUGAAGGGAGGUGGGAAAAUGGAGGAUGCUAUUUAAAAUGGGGUUAGGAAAGUUCUCUCUGACAAAGUUCCUUGGGUAUCUGCAUGAAGCAGUUUAUGCAUGGUACAUAUAAAUACAAAUGCAUUGAAUUUGUGCUCUUCAUAUAUAAUACUUUAUGUAAAAUUCAUAAAUUGCCCAUGAGGUAGGUUCUAUUAUUACCAUUCUUAUUCCUGUGUAAAUAAAUGCAAGGUUACCACAAUUAAGUUACCUGUAACUUCACCAAUGUUAUAUAGGUAGUGUAUUAAAAUGUGAAUAAAAGAUGAUUCUUUAAAAUAAUGCCACUUGCAGCAACAUGGAUGCAACUAGAGAGUAUACUAAAUAAAGUCAGCCAGGGAAUGACAAAUACCUUAUGAUAUCACUUAUAUGUAGAAUCUAAAAUAUGGCACAAAUGAAUCUGUAUACAAAAUAGAAACAGACUCAGACAUGGAGAACAGACAGGUGAGUGCCAAAGAGGAGGGUGGGGGAGGGAUGGACUGGGAGUUUAGGGGUAGUAGAUGCAAACUGUUAGAUUGAGGAUGGAUAUAGCACAGGGAACUAUAUCCAAUCUCCUGGAAUAACCAUAAGGGGAAAGAAUUUUUUAAAAAGAAUGUAUAUGUACAUACAUGUGUAUGUAUACAAACACACAAACACACGCAUAUAUAUAAAACAAGUCACUUUGCUAUAUAGUAGAAAAUAGCAUUACACUGUAAAUCAACAAUAAUGAAAUAAAACACUUGAGACACAGAGACUAAUACAGAGCGAUAACAGAGACAAAAACAGCUGACAAAGUACAUUUGAGAUAUAAUUUGUUUUCAUCUAAAGAUAGUUUAUUUCUAGGUUUAACAUAGUAUAUCCAAGAUUAGUUAAGUAAACGGCAUUAUGUAAAGGUAUGAAUGAUUAUUACAAUUAUUAUUAACACCAUGUUAUAGACUAUAAUUUUUUCAAUGGCUUUAAAAACUAUGCAUUUCAAUUUAUUUUGCAGAAUUCUAACUGAUGUGCAUUGACUAAGAGAAUGCCCAUGCUUUUAAACACAUGCUGGGGGUAGCAGUUGAGGUUGUCAGACCAGAAUCUAUAUCAUAUAGUCAAAAAAAAAAAAAAAACAUUUAAACAAAAAGGGCAUUAUUCAUUCUUUUUAGGAAUUCUUUAUGUUCUUGCUUAUGAUAAAAAAAAGGAAUCAAUAAUAUGAUUUUGUCAGGAAAUGUUUUAAAUAUUUUAAUAUAUUUUGCUUACUAAGGAAACAAAUUGGUAAUACAUUUUAGAAAGUAUUAAUUAAAAUUAUUUAAAAAGAAAACCGGGGUUUUAAGACAACCUUAAAUUAUCUUAAAAAUUAUGUAUAUUAAAAUUACUACUCAUUAUUAUAAUUGUCAGGUGUCAUAUAUAUACUUCUUCAUAUAAUUCUCACAACAGCCUUGCAGAAAUGUCUGUUAUUUACAGAUGAAUGAACUGAAAAACAGAACAGUAACUACUAAAGUUCUCAUGAAUAAAUGACUGAACUUUUUUUGAACUCAGGAUUGCCUGGUAAAAGUGACUGUAAAUUAUUAUUCACAUCACACUGUCCAUUUCUCAUCAGAACUAGAAUAAAAAAUGCAGUUUUAUUUUUAAAUAAACACAGUUUACAAUUAUGUUUUUCAUAACAGCUUACGAUUGUCAUAUCUAAAAUGUAAAUCAAACUAUUUUAUUUAAACAUGAGUUUACACUAGCACUAUAUUUGGAAUGUAUCUUGUUAGCAUGUUUAUUUUUUAAAAAUAAAAAUCACUUUUAAUACAGUUAAAAUUACUUCUCACCUUAUGAAAUAUUGACCUUAUAAAACAAAUUAUUCAUCAUAAUAAUUCGGGAGUAUUUGCAGAGUAUUUUUGUGAACAGCUUUGCAGAGUAUUUUUGUGAACAGAAACAGGAGACUAAAAAAUUAGGAAAAUAUAUAGUUAAGAAACUAGAACUAUUCCUAAAUAUUUGUGAUUUACUAAUUUACUAAUCAGGUAUAUGUUCAAUAUCAAUUAAUAGGCAUCUAGAAUUUUUUUUUUUAACUUAGGGGCUCUAUUUAAAUUUUAAUAGAUUGUAAUUUUUCUUUUCAGUUUAUCUUGGUUAAUAAUUUUUAUUUAUUUUUAAGAACUAGUCAUUUCAUGUAGCUAUUUAUUGUAAGACAUAAGAAAAUCAAAUCUUGAGCAGGACAAUUACUCUUCCCAAUAAUUAGCGUCAAAUCUAACCCAAAUAAACUCCCAAUUUUGACUUAAAAUGAUUGGUCUUUGAUGAUUCUGAAAGAGAGUAUGUUUUUGAGGAUUUAUAGAAUACAUUAAGAUGAACUUAAUUAUCAAGGAAUUGACUCGGCAAGGAAAAUAUAUUAUAGAAUAAAAGUCUUAGGAAGACAAAGUUUAGAAAAAAAUAAUUUAUGGACUAAAUGUAAACUAAAUAGUUAUAAAAAUUUUUAGAGUAGAAAUAAAUGAAUAACUCAUCUUCAAAAUAUCUAUUGGCUUAAUCAGAACCUAAGCUUCCAUGGAAAUGGGUAUUUAUGUUAUGGAUAUAUAAUUACAAAUCAUGGAUUUUUUGUAUUAUUCAAAAGGGAACUAUAUUGUUAGAAUAGGAAAAUCGUAGACAUAUUACAAAAUAUUAUUUUACUACCAGAGAUCUUUUAAAAAAUAAGAACAUCAAGAAUAAACGCCUAUAAAAAUAAGAGGUCAAGCAAAAACCUAAGUAUAAAAAAGUCACAUUUUACAAAUGACAUAUGUGCCCUCUUUUUGUUCAAAACCAAUACUUCACAGAGGACAUAUACCUG
This 5830-nucleotide long non-coding RNA is filed under the name Sus scrofa (pig). RNAcentral's name for it is "lncRNA (ENSSSCG00060038005.1)". Lineage: Eukaryota; Metazoa; Chordata; Mammalia; Artiodactyla; Suidae. The record is from RNAcentral.